RNA transcript from Hyla sarda, 1827 nucleotides. It is a transcript of the gene named zinc finger protein 436-like, with no coding region annotated. The transcript has 7 exons. Lineage: Eukaryota; Metazoa; Chordata; Amphibia; Anura; Hylidae. The record is from RefSeq and is a predicted model, not a curated record.
CAUUUGACUGAUCACCUGACUGUGACAUCAUCGCAGGUCCUUUACACACAUGGUUCCUGUACUGCUCUGUGUGUGGAGGAGAAGAUAUGAACAAUAUUAAUGUUCUAAAGACAGAUGUGAGCAGUGACGAGCAGUAUAAGGAGGACCUUCCUACAAGGAAGGAUCUUAAAUAUAUUAAUGCUUCAGACAUGAAGGAAGAAGAAGAGGAGGAGACAUAUGUGAGCGGUGAUGAGCAGGAUAUGGAGGACGUUCCUAUAGGGAAAGAUCCAAUCUAUAUUAAUGCUGCAGACCUAAAGGAAGAAGAAGAGGAAACGGACAUGAGCGGUGAUGAGCAGUAUAAGGAUGACAUUCCUACAGGGAAAGAUCUGAUGUAUAUUAAUGAUACACACAUAAAGGAAGAAGAGGAGACAGAUGUGAGCGGUGAUGAGCAGUAUAAGGAGGACAUUCCUACAGGGAAAGAUCUGAACUAUAUUAAUGCUACAGACAUAAAGGAAGAAGAAGAAGAGACAGAUGUGAGCAGUGAUGAGCAGUAUAAGGAGGACAUUCCUACAGGGAAAGAUCCAAUCUAUAUUAAUGCUACAGACAUAAAGGAAGAAGAAGAGACAUAUGUGAGCGGUGAUGAGCAGUAUAAGGACAUUCCUACAGGGAAAGAUCUGAUAUAUAUUAAUGCUAAAGACAUAAAGGAAGAAGAAAAGACAGAUGUGAGCGGUGAUGAGCAGUAUAAGGAGGACAUUCCUACAGGUAACCAUCCAGAUGACUGUACCAGGAGAUCAGAGGAGAAUCUUAUAUCUUCAGAUUAUAAAGCAGAUGAUGAUAUCACACAAGAUACAUAUGAAGAACAUUCCAUUAUCCCAGAUACACCCUCAGCCCUUCACAGCCAAGAUCUCUCAUCUCAUCCUGUUAUACAAGUCCAACCUAAAGAUUCAUCUCAGUCUGUUAAGAAAAAUAAGGAAAAGCAGUUUUCAUGUUCAGAAUGUGGGAAAUGUUUUACUCGGAAUUCAUAUCUUGUUAAACAUCAAGUAACUCACACAGGAGAGAAGCCAUUUUCAUGUUCAGAAUGUGGAAAAUGUUUUACUCGGAAAUCAAGUAUUGUUAAGCAUCAAAGAAUUCACACAGGAGAGAAGCCAUUUUCAUGUUCAAAAUGUGGAAAAUGUUUCAGUCAGAAUUCAAUUCUUGUUGAACAUCGAAGAAUUCACACAGGUUUCUCCAAUCCAAGAUCCUCUGCUGAUAUCUUCUAUAUAAGAGAAUUCUUCUGGAUGACCCAUCAACCAUGGACAGAGACAGGAACAAGAUGGCCGACAGGAUCAUAAACCUCACCCUACAGAUACUCUUCCGGCUUACUGGAGAGGAUUACACAGUAGUGAAGAAGUCCUCUAGUGGGCGCUGUCGGGCCCCUGUGUGUGAAGGAUGGAAAAGAACCCUGAGCCCAAUCCCGGGGCCCCCACCUCACUCCCUGAUACAUGAGGAAAUGGAUGAACAGAAGAUCCUAGAACUCAUCAACAAGAUGAUGGAGCUGCUGACUGGAGAGGUUCCUAUAAGGUGUCAGGACGUGGCGGUCUAUUUCUCCAUGGAGGAGUGGGAGUAUGUAGAAGGACACAAGGAUCAGUACAAGGAUCAGGUGAUGAUGGAGGAUCAGCAGCCCCUCACAUCACCAGUCAGAUCCAGUAAGAGAACAGCACCAGAGAGGUGUCCCUGUCCUCUUGAUAAGCAGUAUAUGGAGGACGUUCCUAUGGGGAAAGAUCUGAUCUAUAUUAAUGCUACAGACAUAAGGAAAAAAGAAGAGACAGAUGUGAGCGGUGAUGAGCAGUAUAAGGAGGACAUUCCUAC